RNAcentral lists this ribosomal RNA (619 nucleotides) under Brachybacterium sp. RNAcentral describes it as "bacterial SSU rRNA". It matches the Rfam family "Bacterial small subunit ribosomal RNA", at positions 369 to 999 of the family's 1533-position model. Lineage: Bacteria; Bacillati; Actinomycetota; Actinomycetes; Micrococcales; Dermabacteraceae. The record is from RNAcentral.
CAAUGGGCGAAAGCUGAUGCAGCGACGCCGCGUGGGGGAUGACGGCCUUCGGGUUGUAAACCCCUUUCAGUAGGGAAGAAGCGAGAGUGACGGUACCUGCAGAAGAAGCGCCGGCUAACUACGUGCCAGCAGCCGCGGUAAUACGUAGGGCGCAAGCGUUGUCCGGAAUUAUUGGGCGUAAAGAGCUUGUAGGUGGCUUGUCGCGUCUGCCGUGAAAACCCGAGGCUCAACCUCGGGCGUGCGGUGGGUACGGGCAGGCUAGAGUGUGGUAGGGGAGACUGGAACUCCUGGUGUAGCGGUGAAAUGCGCAGAUAUCAGGAAGAACACCGAUGGCGAAGGCAGGUCUCUGGGCCAUUACUGACACUGAGAAGCGAAAGCAUGGGUAGCGAACAGGAUUAGAUACCCUGGUAGUCCAUGCCGUAAACGUUGGGCACUAGGUGUGGGGGACAUUCCACGUUUUCCGCGCCGUAGCUAACGCAUUAAGUGCCCCGCCUGGGGAGUACGGCCGCAAGGCUAAAACUCAAAGGAAUUGACGGGGGCCCGCACAAGCGGCGGAGCAUGCUGAUUAAUUCGAUGCAACGCGAAGAACCUUACCAAGGCUUGACAUGCACUGGACGGC